AGCGGCAAACGGGUGAGUAACACGUAGGAAAUCUACCCUGAAAAGAGGGACACCCCCGAGAAAUCGGGGCUAAUACCUCAUAAGACCACGGCAUCCAAAGCCCCGUUUUGGGAUGAUCCUGCGUCCUAUCAGCUAGUUGGCGGGGUAACGGCCCACCAAGGCUAAGACGGGUAGCCGGCCUGAAAGGGCGAUCGGCCACAAUGGAACUGAGACACGGUCCAUACUCCUACGGGAGGCAGCAGUGGGGAAUUUUGGACAAUGGGCGAAAGCCUGAUCCAGCGACGCCGCGUGGAGGAUGAAGGUCUUCGGAUUGUAAACUCCUUUUGGAGGGGACGAAUGACGGUACCCUCAGAAAAAGCCACGGCUAACUACGUGCCAGCAGCCGCGGUAAUACGUAGGUGGCGAGCGUUACUCGGAUUUACUAGGCGUAAAGCGCUUGCAGGUGGUUGGAUAAGUCCGUAGUGAAAUUUCCCGGCUCAACUGGGAAGGGUCUACGGAAAC
This 501-nucleotide ribosomal RNA is filed under the name uncultured soil bacterium. RNAcentral's name for it is "bacterial SSU rRNA". It matches the Rfam family "Bacterial small subunit ribosomal RNA", at positions 94 to 633 of the family's 1533-position model. The record is from RNAcentral.